GUGUCUAUAGCAUAAUGGAUCAUUGCGUUGCGCUACGAACGCAAAGGUUCUAGGUUCGACUCCUAGUAGGCAUU
This 74-nucleotide transfer RNA is filed under the name Diacronema lutheri. RNAcentral describes it as "tRNA-Arg". It matches the Rfam family "tRNA". Rfam says of the family: Transfer RNA (tRNA) molecules are approximately 80 nucleotides in length. Their secondary structure includes four short double-helical elements and three loops (D, anti-codon, and T loops). Lineage: Eukaryota; Haptophyta; Pavlovophyceae; Pavlovales; Pavlovaceae. RNAcentral also lists the same sequence under 1 other name. The record is from RNAcentral.